GGAGAAUAAAAGAGGAAGAUGUAGAAGAAGAAGAAGAAAAAGAGGAGAGUGCCACUGGCACGCAGAAGGGAGCGCCACAAAACAUCGUCACCUGCCGGACGUUCGGAGAUUAGCUUAGAUCAGGAGCAUGUUUAAAGUUGAAAGAAAACUCUGGAUGAAAUUUUAGAGACUUUUGAUGGAUGAAAGGGAGAGACAAAGCAAAGAAACAUAUGAGAGGUUAACAAUCGACUAGUAUAUAUAUAUAAGUGAAUAUGUAUGUCAUGUGAUCUUAUAAAUAGCUAUUGAUAUAUGUAAAC
Long non-coding RNA from Carica papaya (papaya), 296 nucleotides. RefSeq lists it as uncharacterized. Lineage: Eukaryota; Viridiplantae; Streptophyta; Magnoliopsida; Brassicales; Caricaceae. The record is from RefSeq and is a predicted model, not a curated record.